UAGGAGCGAACUAGAAAAUACGACUGUUGU
RNAcentral lists this non-coding RNA (30 nucleotides) under Rattus norvegicus (Norway rat). Lineage: Eukaryota; Metazoa; Chordata; Mammalia; Rodentia; Muridae. The record is from RNAcentral.